GGAACAGUACUGACGCUGAGAUGCGAAAGCGUGGGGAGCAAACAGGAUUAGAUACCCUGGUAGUCCACGCAGUAAACGAUGAAUGUUAGUCGUUGGUAUGCUAGACAUAUCAGUGAUGCAGUUAACACAUUAAACAUUCCGCCUGGGGAGUACGGUCGCAAGAUUAAAACUCAAAGGAAUAGACGGGGACCCGCACAAGUGGUGGAGCAUGUGGUUUAAUUCGAAGAUACGCGAAGAACCUUACCUAGCCUUGACAUAUUAUAGAAUUCAGUAGAGAUACAGAAGUGCCUUCGGGAGCUAUAUUACAGGUGCUGCACGGCUGUCGUCAGCUCGUGUCGUGAGAUGUUGGGUUAAGUCCCGCAACGAGCGCAACCCUCGUCACUAGUUACUAACGGUUAGGCCGAGGACUCUAGUGAGACUGCCUUCGUAAGGAGGAGGAAGGUGAGGACGACGUCAAGUCAUCAUGGCCCUUACGGCUAGGGCAACACACGUGCUACAAUGGUUAGGACAAUGAGAAGCAAUAUCGCGAGGUGGAGCAAAUCUAUAAACCUAAUCUCAGUUCGGAUUGUAGUCUGCAACUCGACUACAUGAAGCUGGAAUCACUAGUAAUCGUAGAUCAGCUAUGCUACGGUGAAUACGU
RNAcentral lists this ribosomal RNA (640 nucleotides) under uncultured bacterium. Its description in RNAcentral is "bacterial SSU rRNA". It matches the Rfam family "Bacterial small subunit ribosomal RNA", at positions 731 to 1371 of the family's 1533-position model. The record is from RNAcentral.